Molecule: ribosomal RNA, 149 nt
Filed under: Colletotrichum gloeosporioides
Lineage: Eukaryota; Fungi; Ascomycota; Sordariomycetes; Glomerellales; Glomerellaceae
Description: 5.8S ribosomal RNA
Rfam family: 5.8S ribosomal RNA
About the family: 5.8S ribosomal RNA (5.8S rRNA) is a component of the large subunit of the eukaryotic ribosome. It is transcribed by RNA polymerase I as part of the 45S precursor that also contains 18S and 28S rRNA.
Source: RNAcentral
AAACUUUUAACAACGGAUCUCUUGAGUUCUGGCAUCGAUGAAGAACGCAGCGAAAUGCGAUAAGUAAUGUGAAUUGCAGAAUUCAGUGAAUCAUCGAAUCUUUGAACGCACAUUGCGCCCGCCAGCAUUCUGGCGGGCAUGCCUGUUCG